CAGUCGCCGCGGGAAUACAGAGGGUGCAAGCGUUAAUCGGAAUUACUGGGCGUAAAGCGCGCGUAGGUGGUUUGUUAAUUUGGAUGUGAAAUCCCCGGGCUCAACCUGGGAACUGCAUCCAAAACUGGCAAGCUAGAGUAUGGUAGAGGGUGGUGGAAUUUCCUGUGUAGCGGUGAAAUGCGUAGAUAUAGGAAGGAACACCAGUGGCGAAGGCGACCACCUGGACUGAUACUGACACUGAGGUGCGAAAGCGUGGGGAGCAAACAGGAUUAGAUACCCCCGUAGUCCCUGUCUCUUAUAA
RNAcentral lists this ribosomal RNA (301 nucleotides) under uncultured bacterium. RNAcentral describes it as "partial 16S ribosomal RNA". It matches the Rfam family "Bacterial small subunit ribosomal RNA", at positions 509 to 809 of the family's 1533-position model. The record is from RNAcentral.